ACGGGUGAAGAUAAGACGGAUUAGCGGCGGACGGGUGAGUAACACGUGAGUAACCUGCCUUUUACACAGGGAUAGCCUCGGGAAACCGGGAUUAAAACCUGAUGAAACUAUCAAAUCACAUGAUUAAGAAAGUUAAAACUCCGGUGGUAAAAGAUGGACUCGCGUCCCAUUAGCUAGUUGGUGAAGGUAACGGCCCACCAAGGCAACGAUGGGUAGCCGGCCUGAGAGGGUGAACGGCCACAUUGGAACUGAGAAACGGUCCAAACUCCUACGGGAGGCAGCAGAU
RNAcentral lists this ribosomal RNA (286 nucleotides) under uncultured Peptoniphilus sp. Its description in RNAcentral is "partial 16S ribosomal RNA". It matches the Rfam family "Bacterial small subunit ribosomal RNA", at positions 73 to 354 of the family's 1533-position model. The record is from RNAcentral. Lineage: Bacteria; Bacillati; Bacillota; Tissierellia; Tissierellales; Peptoniphilaceae.